Molecule: ribosomal RNA, 2921 nt
Filed under: Staphylococcus aureus M0345
Lineage: Bacteria; Bacillati; Bacillota; Bacilli; Caryophanales; Staphylococcaceae
Description: bacterial LSU rRNA
Rfam family: Bacterial large subunit ribosomal RNA
Source: RNAcentral
UUAAGUUAUUAAGGGCGCACGGUGGAUGCCUUGGCACUAGAAGCCGAUGAAGGACGUUACUAACGACGAUAUGCUUUGGGGAGCUGUAAGUAAGCUUUGAUCCAGAGAUUUCCGAAUGGGGAAACCCAGCAUGAGUUAUGUCAUGUUAUCGAUAUGUGAAUACAUAGCAUAUCAGAAGGCACACCCGGAGAACUGAAACAUCUUAGUACCCGGAGGAAGAGAAAGAAAAUUCGAUUCCCUUAGUAGCGGCGAGCGAAACGGGAAGAGCCCAAACCAACAAGCUUGCUUGUUGGGGUUGUAGGACACUCUAUACGGAGUUACAAAGGACGACAUUAGACGAAUCAUCUGGAAAGAUGAAUCAAAGAAGGUAAUAAUCCUGUAGUCGAAAAUGUUGUCUCUCUUGAGUGGAUCCUGAGUACGACGGAGCACGUGAAAUUCCGUCGGAAUCUGGGAGGACCAUCUCCUAAGGCUAAAUACUCUCUAGUGACCGAUAGUGAACCAGUACCGUGAGGGAAAGGUGAAAAGCGCCCCGGAAGGGGAGUGAAAUAGAACCUGAAACCGUGUGCUUACAAGUAGUCAGAGCCCGUUAAUGGGUGAUGGCGUGCCUUUUGUAGAAUGAACCGGCGAGUUACGAUUUGAUGCAAGGUUAAGCAGUAAAUGUGGAGCCGUAGCGAAAGCGAGUCUGAAUAGGGCGUUUAGUAUUUGGUCGUAGACCCGAAACCAGGUGAUCUACCCUUGGUCAGGUUGAAGUUCAGGUAACACUGAAUGGAGGACCGAACCGACUUACGUUGAAAAGUGAGCGGAUGAACUGAGGGUAGCGGAGAAAUUCCAAUCGAACCUGGAGAUAGCUGGUUCUCUCCGAAAUAGCUUUAGGGCUAGCCUCAAGUGAUGAUUAUUGGAGGUAGAGCACUGUUUGGACGAGGGGCCCCUCUCGGGUUACCGAAUUCAGACAAACUCCGAAUGCCAAUUAAUUUAACUUGGGAGUCAGAACAUGGGUGAUAAGGUCCGUGUUCGAAAGGGAAACAGCCCAGACCACCAGCUAAGGUCCCAAAAUAUAUGUUAAGUGGAAAAGGAUGUGGCGUUGCCCAGACAACUAGGAUGUUGGCUUAGAAGCAGCCAUCAUUUAAAGAGUGCGUAAUAGCUCACUAGUCGAGUGACACUGCGCCGAAAAUGUACCGGGGCUAAACAUAUUACCGAAGCUGUGGAUUGUCCUUUGGACAAUGGUAGGAGAGCGUUCUAAGGGCGUUGAAGCAUGAUCGUAAGGACAUGUGGAGCGCUUAGAAGUGAGAAUGCCGGUGUGAGUAGCGAAAGACGGGUGAGAAUCCCGUCCACCGAUUGACUAAGGUUUCCAGAGGAAGGCUCGUCCGCUCUGGGUUAGUCGGGUCCUAAGCUGAGGCCGACAGGCGUAGGCGAUGGAUAACAGGUUGAUAUUCCUGUACCACCUAUAAUCGUUUUAAUCGAUGGGGGGACGCAGUAGGAUAGGCGAAGCGUGCGAUUGGAUUGCACGUCUAAGCAGUAAGGCUGAGUAUUAGGCAAAUCCGGUACUCGUUAAGGCUGAGCUGUGAUGGGGAGAAGACAUUGAGUCUUCGAGUCGUUGAUUUCACACUGCCGAGAAAAGCCUCUAGAUAGAAAAUAGGUGCCCGUACCGCAAACCGACACAGGUAGUCAAGAUGAGAAUUCUAAGGUGAGCGAGCGAACUCUCGUUAAGGAACUCGGCAAAAUGACCCCGUAACUUCGGGAGAAGGGGUGCUCUUUAGGGUUAACGCCCAGAAGAGCCGCAGUGAAUAGGCCCAAGCGACUGUUUAUCAAAAACACAGGUCUCUGCUAAACCGUAAGGUGAUGUAUAGGGGCUGACGCCUGCCCGGUGCUGGAAGGUUAAGAGGAGUGGUUAGCUUCUGCGAAGCUACGAAUCGAAGCCCCAGUAAACGGCGGCCGUAACUAUAACGGUCCUAAGGUAGCGAAAUUCCUUGUCGGGUAAGUUCCGACCCGCACGAAAGGCGUAACGAUUUGGGCACUGUCUCAACGAGAGACUCGGUGAAAUCAUAGUACCUGUGAAGAUGCAGGUUACCCGCGACAGGACGGAAAGACCCCGUGGAGCUUUACUGUAGCCUGAUAUUGAAAUUCGGCACAGCUUGUACAGGAUAGGUAGGAGCCUUUGAAACGUGAGCGCUAGCUUACGUGGAGGCGCUGGUGGGAUACUACCCUAGCUGUGUUGGCUUUCUAACCCGCACCACUUAUCGUGGUGGGAGACAGUGUCAAGCGGGCAGUUUGACUGGGGCGGUCGCCUCCUAAAAGGUAACGGAGGCGCUCAAAGGUUCCCUCAGAAUGGUUGGAAAUCAUUCAUAGAGUGUAAAGGCAUAAGGGAGCUUGACUGCGAGACCUACAAGUCGAGCAGGGUCGAAAGACGGACUUAGUGAUCCGGUGGUUCCGCAUGGAAGGGCCAUCGCUCAACGGAUAAAAGCUACCCCGGGGAUAACAGGCUUAUCUCCCCCAAGAGUUCACAUCGACGGGGAGGUUUGGCACCUCGAUGUCGGCUCAUCGCAUCCUGGGGCUGUAGUCGGUCCCAAGGGUUGGGCUGUUCGCCCAUUAAAGCGGUACGCGAGCUGGGUUCAGAACGUCGUGAGACAGUUCGGUCCCUAUCCGUCGUGGGCGUAGGAAAUUUGAGAGGAGCUGUCCUUAGUACGAGAGGACCGGGAUGGACAUACCUCUGGUGUACCAGUUGUCGUGCCAACGGCAUAGCUGGGUAGCUAUGUGUGGACGGGAUAAGUGCUGAAAGCAUCUAAGCAUGAAGCCCCCCUCAAGAUGAGAUUUCCCAACUUCGGUUAUAAGAUCCCUCAAAGAUGAUGAGGUUAAUAGGUUCGAGGUGGAAGCAUGGUGACAUGUGGAGCUGACGAAUACUAAUCGAUCGAAGACUUAAUCAA